UGUAAAGUCAUUGCGCCUAAAUACAAGAAAACGGAAAGUGGGUGGGAACUAGGAGCCAACAACAAAGCCCAAAGCAAGCCAUGCCGGUGGCAAUAACAGCAAUACCCAGUUGUUCCCAUCACCACUGCCGCAAACUCCUCCUCUUUACCUCUAACCGUCGUACGAUUGCCUUCAACUCCGCCGCCGCCACCACCACCGCCAUGAUGGCCACCACCGCCACUAGCAGCAAUACUGGCGGCGGCGCCUUCACGACGAUCAAGGAGAGAGUGACUUUCGAAAAGGAAAUCAAGAAGAGCAAAUUCAUCGCCAUCGCUGGCCCCAUCUCCGAUGAACAAUCCGCCUUCUCCUUCCUCUCUCAGGUGCGAGAUCCGCGAGCUACUCACAAUUGUUGGGCUUACAUGGUCGGAGAUCAAUAUCGGUCGAAUGACGACGGCGAACCGUCGGGGACAGCUGGGAAGCCAAUACAUUCUGCGAUUGUUUCCUCGGGAAUCGACAGAGUUAUGGUGGUUGUCAUCAGGUAUUUUGGAGGUAUCAAAUUAGGUACUGGUGGGCUAGUGAGAGCUUAUGGAGGAGUUGCCUCUGAAUGCUUGAGAAAUUCCCCAACUUGUCUUAUCAAAUCAAAGGUUCCAAUGGGUGUGGAGGUUCCAUUUGAUCUUUUAGGAGCUUUAUAUCAUCAGCUACAAUCUUUUCAAGUUGAAGAUAUCAAGCAAGAUUAUGAGACUGGAAAAGACGGUACAACAACGGUUCAUUUUAAAGCUGAUUUUGACUGUGUUGAGAAACUGGAGGAUGCUAUCAAAGCCAAAUGUAGUAGAGAUUUAGUGUUCUUCAAGCGCUGAACAGAGCUUUGGCUAUUUAUUAUACAUGGUUGCAGAGAUUGCUUGUAUUUUCAAAGGGAGUACUGUUAAGCGAAGCCACAAAUGCAUGAUUUCAUGCAUUGCCCAGAAUCAGACCCAUCUGAAAAAGGAAAAAUUUUGCAUCUCACAGAGGAUAGAAGGGGCGACUAUAGCCAUGGUGGGCGGCUGCAACAGCAGCUUGAGGAGGCCGCAUUGCCUUUUGGGUGCCGAGUAAAACCCGAGAUGGCGGAUUUGGCAUCAGGAGCGAGGCAACUUUUGACACUAGCCCUAUUAAGAGAGUGGUACACAGCAUGACUGUCUUUGAACUGGAUUGGUUUGCCAAAGCCAUCUUAGGCGGUGAUUUUGCCGGUUACAGAUGUGAAGACAAUGCCCGUGCUUAGGAUGGAGGUGAUGGAGAUGCAAGGUUUGUAGCAACUCUCAAAAGUGACGUUGAGAUUGUUAAUAUAACUCAAGGAGAUAAAUUGACUAAUAGCAGCUGUUUAUAUAACAACUGUGACAAAUUGUUGCUUAGAUUGAGUCUGAAGGUUUAACGAUGCGAAACGACAUGUCGCACAAUUUGAGAAUGGGUUGCGAGUUAAGAAGCCACUUUUUUUUUUUUUUUAAUAGAUUUCUGGUCAAUCGCACAAUUUGACUUUAGAAGAGUAAUUAAUCUCGAGAG
RNA transcript from Morus notabilis, 1512 nucleotides. It is a transcript of the gene named IMPACT family member in pol 5'region, with no coding region annotated. The record is from RefSeq and is a predicted model, not a curated record. Lineage: Eukaryota; Viridiplantae; Streptophyta; Magnoliopsida; Rosales; Moraceae. The transcript has 7 exons.